GUGGUACGCCUCUAAACUCUGUUUAAUAUUUUUCGCGUAUCCUUGGCUGUUGCAAUUUAUGAAUUGGAAAUUAUGAAGAGACCAUUCUAUAUGUUUCAACCUUUUUGCCUCCUCCUUGUGUGUUCUGGAACAACCUUUAUCCUUCAUAGUGAUAGCUUUCAAAGGCUUGGUUAUUCAUGCUUGUCGUUGCACAUGCUGUGUUAGAACUACUUUCUCUGCUUAACAUAUAAUAGAUUAUAUUAUACUUGAGGAAGGUUAAAUUUGUAUCGCAAGCUAGUCUGGACAUGCGAGUAAAACUAGCUUGACCCUAUGAGGAAGUCAGAAAAACUGGCAAGCAACAAGGUUUACCUCUGGCCAGAGAGCUAGUUGCACUCGCUUUACGCAUUAAAAUGUCUCUAUCUUCUUUCUUGGAACCCCUGAACCUUAGCCAUUCGCGAUUAGAUGUGCCUCUAUAGUUCCUAGGAUAGUACCGGUUGGUUGCAUUCAAAAUUCCUGUUCCUGACACAGACUACACUUUCAUUGGUAAGGAGUUAAGAAUCUGCACCUUGUUUGUGCAUCAGGAGGACUACCAUUUUCUCGGUUUUGCGAAUCAUGACUACCUUUUUGCCGUUUUGAAUCUUUUUUCUGUGAGACAAUUUUCUCAAUACCUGAAAUCUCUGCUUUAUGAGCACUGUUUCUGAGUCUUUUUCUUCCAUUCUCACUGGUGCAGAGU
This 712-nucleotide long non-coding RNA is filed under the name Arabidopsis lyrata. RNAcentral describes it as "long non-coding RNA (ALYR_LNC001757)". Lineage: Eukaryota; Viridiplantae; Streptophyta; Magnoliopsida; Brassicales; Brassicaceae. The record is from RNAcentral.